GGAGGAGUUGCGAACGGGUGAGUAACGCGUAGGUAACCUGCCUCUUAGCGGGGGAUAACUAUUGGAAACGAUAGCUAAUACCGCAUAAAAGUCGACAUUGCAUGAUGUUGACUUGAAAGGUGCAACUGCAUCACUAAGAGAUGGACCUGCGUUGUAUUAGCUAGUUGGUGAGGUAACGGCUCACCAAGGCGACGAUACAUAGCCGACCUGAGAGGGUGAUCGGCCACACUGGGACUGAGACACGGCCCAGACUCCUACGGGAGGCAGCAGUAGGGAAUCUUCGGCAAUGGACGGAAGUCUGACCGAGCAACGCCGCGUGAGUGAAGAAGGUUUUCGGAUCGUAAAGCUCUGUUGUAAGAGAAGAACGAGUGUGAGAGUGGAAAGUUCACACUGUGACGGUAACUUACCAGAAAGGGACGGCUAACUACGUGCCAGCAGCCGCGGUAAUACGUAGGUCCCGAGCGUUAUCCGGAUUUAUUGGGCGUAAAGCGAGCGCAGGCGGUUAGAUAAGUCUGAAGUUAAAGGCUGCGGCUUAACCAUAGUACGCUUUGGAAACUGUUUAACUUGAGUGCAGAAGGGGAGAGUGGAAUUCCAUGUGUAGCGGUGAAAUGCGUAGAUAUAUGGAGGAACAC
This 632-nucleotide ribosomal RNA is filed under the name uncultured Bacilli bacterium. RNAcentral describes it as "bacterial SSU rRNA". It matches the Rfam family "Bacterial small subunit ribosomal RNA", at positions 89 to 709 of the family's 1533-position model. The record is from RNAcentral. Lineage: Bacteria; Bacillati; Bacillota; Bacilli.